GAUGAACGCUGGCGGCGUGCCUAAUACAUGCAAGUCGAGCGAACAGACGAGGAGCUUGCUCCUCUGACGUUAGCGGCGGACGGGUGAGUAACACGUGGAUAACCUACCUAUAAGACUGGGAUAACUUCGGGAAACCGGAGCUAAUACCGGAUAAUAUAUUGAACCGCAUGGUUCAAUAGUGAAAGACGGCUUUGCUGUCACUUAUAGAUGGAUCCGCGCCGCAUUAGCUAGUUGGUAAGGUAACGGCUUACCAAGGCAACGAUGCGUAGCCGACCUGAGAGGAUGAUCGGCCACACUGGAACUGAGACACGGUCCAGACUCCUACGGGAGGCAGCAGUAGGGAAUCUUCCGCAAUGGGCGAAAGCUUGACGGAGCAACGCCGCGUGAGUGAUGAAGGUCUUCGGAUCGUAAAACUCUGUUAUUAGGAAAGAACAAAUGUGUAAGUAACUAUGCACGUCUUGACGGUACCUAAUCAGAAAGCAACGGCUAACUACGUG
This 497-nucleotide ribosomal RNA is filed under the name uncultured bacterium. Its description in RNAcentral is "partial 16S ribosomal RNA". It matches the Rfam family "Bacterial small subunit ribosomal RNA", at positions 28 to 507 of the family's 1533-position model. The record is from RNAcentral.